CUUGCAGCCAUACAUCUAACUUGCUGACGUGGAUUUCCAUACACCACACUUGUAGAUCCAUUGAAUCCGACCAAACUCUAAUUCAACGACAAAAUGCUAGAGGGCAUCUUUUUUUUUUUUCAUUUCAUUAUUUAAGUCCCUCCGGAUAAGAACAAAAGUUACGGAACUAACGAGCUUCCAUGAGCUCAAAGGCCUCCUUAGCC
This 203-nucleotide long non-coding RNA is filed under the name Elaeis guineensis (African oil palm). RNAcentral's name for it is "long non-coding RNA (EGUI_LNC016548)". Lineage: Eukaryota; Viridiplantae; Streptophyta; Magnoliopsida; Arecales; Arecaceae. The record is from RNAcentral.